This 68-nucleotide transfer RNA is filed under the name Philantomba maxwellii (Maxwell's duiker). RNAcentral describes it as "tRNA-Phe". It matches the Rfam family "tRNA". Rfam says of the family: Transfer RNA (tRNA) molecules are approximately 80 nucleotides in length. Their secondary structure includes four short double-helical elements and three loops (D, anti-codon, and T loops). The record is from RNAcentral. Lineage: Eukaryota; Metazoa; Chordata; Mammalia; Artiodactyla; Bovidae.
GUUAAUGUAGCUUAAAAUUAAAGCAAGGCACUGAAAAUGCCUAGAUGAGUGCUCCAACUCCAUAAACA